CUCCGGUGGUGUAAGAUGGAUCCGCGUCUGAUUAGCUAGUUGGUGAGGUAAUGGCUCACCAAGGCGACGAUCAGUAGCCGGCCUGAGAGGGUGAACGGCCACAUUGGGACUGAGACACGGCCCAAACUCCUACGGGAGGCAGCAGUGGGGAAUAUUGCACAAUGGGCGAAAGCCUGAUGCAGCGACGCCGCGUGAGUGAAGAAGUAUUUCGGUACGUAAAGCUCUAUCAGCAAGGAAGAAAAUGACGGUACUUGACUAAGAAGCCCCGGCUAACUACGUGCCAGCAGCCGCGGUAAUACGUAGGGGGCAAGCGUUAUCCGGAUUUACUGGGUGUAAAGGGAGCGUAGACGGUUCUGCAAGUCUGGUGUGAAAGCCCGGGGCUCAACCCCGGGACUGCAUUGGAAACUGUGGAACUAGAGUGCAGGAGAGGUAAGUGGAAUUCCUAGUGUAGCGGUGAAAAUGCGUAGAUAUUAGGAGGAACACCAGUGGC
RNAcentral lists this ribosomal RNA (490 nucleotides) under uncultured bacterium. RNAcentral's name for it is "bacterial SSU rRNA". It matches the Rfam family "Bacterial small subunit ribosomal RNA", at positions 210 to 716 of the family's 1533-position model. The record is from RNAcentral.